RNAcentral lists this long non-coding RNA (397 nucleotides) under Struthio camelus australis. RNAcentral describes it as "lncRNA (ENSSCUG00000014098.1)". Lineage: Eukaryota; Metazoa; Chordata; Aves; Struthioniformes; Struthionidae. The record is from RNAcentral.
GUAAAAGUAGGACUGUCCUGCAUUAAUUUACUGCCAGGUUUUUUUUGUUUGUUAGUUUUUCAGAACUCUACAGACUUGUCCAUGAAUGGUCAAGAAGACAGCUUGUGUCCUCAAUAGCACACAGAAGCCUAAGGAGCUAGGAUUCCUUGAGAAUUGCAUUUUGGCUCCUCAGUCCCACUGGCAAGGCAUCUUCCUUCUACUGAAUAUGCUCCAGUAAAGGAUUCAAAAGAUUGUAUAAGGACACAAAAGAUGGUAUAAAUACUGCUGUAGGUGCAACUUCAAAUCUUCAUAUUGCAGCUUGGUUUUCUCCCAUUAAAGUUACCUAAAAAAUUCUCAUUAAAAAUCUUUUUAAAGCAAGCAACAUGCAAUUUUUAUGUGAAAAUACUCUUGAAAGCAU